Molecule: transfer RNA, 70 nt
Filed under: Sagamichthys abei (shining tubeshoulder)
Lineage: Eukaryota; Metazoa; Chordata; Actinopteri; Alepocephaliformes; Platytroctidae
Description: tRNA-His
Rfam family: tRNA
About the family: Transfer RNA (tRNA) molecules are approximately 80 nucleotides in length. Their secondary structure includes four short double-helical elements and three loops (D, anti-codon, and T loops).
Source: RNAcentral
GUAGACAUAGUUUAACCCAAAACACUAGAUUGUGAUUCUAGAAACAGGGGUUAAUACCCCCUUGUCCACC